RNAcentral lists this transfer RNA (63 nucleotides) under Chelonia mydas (Green sea turtle). RNAcentral describes it as "partial tRNA-Pro". The record is from RNAcentral. Lineage: Eukaryota; Metazoa; Chordata; Testudines; Cheloniidae.
AAGGACUUAAACCUUCAUCCCCGGUCCCCAAAACCGGAAUCCUAUAAUUAAACUAUCCUUUGA